AUACGAGGGGUGCAAGCGUUAAUCGGAAUUACUGGGCGUAAAGCGUUCGUAGGCGGUUUGUUAAGCAAGAUGUGAAAGCCCAGGGCUCAACCUUGGAACUGCAUUUUGAACUGGCAGGCUAGAGUACUGUAGAGGGUGGUGGAAUUUCCAGUGUAGCGGUGAAAUGCGUAGAGAUUGGAAGGAACAUCAGUGGCGAAGGCGGCCACCUGGACAGAUACUGACGCUGAGGAACGAAAGCGUGGGGAGCAAACAGGAUUAGAAACCCCGGUAGUCC
RNAcentral lists this ribosomal RNA (274 nucleotides) under uncultured bacterium. RNAcentral's name for it is "partial 16S ribosomal RNA". It matches the Rfam family "Bacterial small subunit ribosomal RNA", at positions 523 to 796 of the family's 1533-position model. The record is from RNAcentral.